ACGUAGGAGGCGAGCGUUAUCCGGAUUUACUGGGCGUAAAGCGCGUGCAGGCGGGGCGAUAAGUCGUGCGUGAAAGCUCCCAGGCUUAACUGGGAGAGGUCGUUCAAUACUGCGGGGCUUGAGGUAGGGAGAGGGGUGUGGAAUUCCCGGUGUAGUGGUGGAAUGCGUAGAGAUCGGGAGGAACACCAGUGGCGAAGGCGGCACCCUGGCCCAGACCUGACGCUGAGGUGCGAAAGCGUGGGGAGCAAACAG
This 252-nucleotide ribosomal RNA is filed under the name uncultured prokaryote. Its description in RNAcentral is "partial 16S ribosomal RNA". It matches the Rfam family "Bacterial small subunit ribosomal RNA", at positions 525 to 775 of the family's 1533-position model. The record is from RNAcentral.